This 1240-nucleotide ribosomal RNA is filed under the name Cassava frogskin disease phytoplasma. RNAcentral describes it as "bacterial SSU rRNA". It matches the Rfam family "Bacterial small subunit ribosomal RNA", at positions 161 to 1399 of the family's 1533-position model. The record is from RNAcentral. Lineage: Bacteria; Bacillati; Mycoplasmatota; Mollicutes; Acholeplasmatales; Acholeplasmataceae.
UGCUAAGACUGGAUAGGAAAAGUAAAGGCAUCUUUACUUUUUUAAAAGACCUUCUUUGAAGGUAUACUUAAGGAGGGGCUUGCGACACAUUAGUUAGUUGGCAGGGUAAAGGCCUACCAAGACUAUGAUGUGUAGCUGGACUGAGAGGUUGAACAGCCACAUUGGGACUGAGACACGGCCCAAACUCCUACGGGAGGCAGCAGUAGGGAAUUUUCGGCAAUGGAGGAAACUCUGACCGAGCAACGCCGCGUGAACGAUGAAGUACCUCGGUAUGUAAAGUUCUUUUAUUAAGGAAGAAAAAAGAGUGGAAAAACUCCCUUGACGGUAUUUAAUGAAUAAGCCCCGGCUAAAUUAUGUGCCAGCAGCCGCGGUAAUACAUAAGGGGCGAGCGUUAUCCGGAAUUAUUGGGCGUAAAGGGUGCGUAGGCGGUUUAAUAAGUCUAUAGUUUAAUUUCAGUGCUUAACGCUGUUGUGCUAUAGAAACUGUUUUACUAGAGUGAGUUAGAGGCAAGCGGAAUUCCAUGUGUAGCGGUAAAAUGCGUAAAUAUAUGGAGGAACACCAGAGGCGUAGGCGGCUUGCUGGGACUUUACUGACGCUGAGGCACGAAAGCGUGGGGAGCAAACAGGAUUAGAUACCCUGGUAGUCCACGCCGUAAACGAUGAGUACUAAGUGUCGGGUAAAACCGGUACUGAAGUUAACACACUAAGUACUCCGCCUGAGUAGUACGUACGCAAGUAUGAAACUUAAAGGAAUUGACGGGACUCCGCACAAGCGGUGGAUCAUGUUGUUUAAUUCGAAGAUACACGAAAAACCUUACCAGGUCUUGACAUUUUCUUGCGAAGUUAUAGAAAUAUAAUGGAGGUUAUCAGGAAAACAGGUGGUGCAUGGUUGUCGUCAGCUCGUGUCGUGAGAUGUUAGGUUAAGUCCUAAAACGAGCGCAACCCUUGUCGUUAAUUGCCAGCAUGUAAUGAUGGGGACUUUAACGAGACUGCCAAUGAAAAAUUGGAGGAAGGUGGGGAUUACGUCAAAUCAUCAUGCCCCUUAUGAUCUGGGCUACAAACGUGAUACAAUGGUUGAUACAAAGAGUAGCUGAAACGCGAGUUCUUAGCCAAUCUCACAAAAUCAAUCUCAGUUCGGAUUGAAGUCUGCAACUCGACUUCAUGAAGUUGGAAUCGCUAGUAAUCGCGAAUCAGCAUGUCGCGGUGAAUACGUUCUCGGAGUUUGUACACACCGCCCGUCA